CCUACGGGAGGCAGCAGUAGGGAAUAUUGCUCAAUGGGGGAAAGGCUGAAGCAGCAACGCCGCGUGGAGGAUGAAGGUGUUGGGAUUGUAAACCCCUUUUGGUAGAGAAGAAAAUGACGGUAUCUAACGAAUAAGCACCGGCCAACGCCGUGCCAGCAGCCGCGGUAAUACGGAGGGUGCAAGCGUUAUUCGGAAUCACUGGGCGUAAAGAGCGCGUAGGCGGGAUAGCAAGUCAGAUGUGAAAUCCUAUGGCUUAACCAUAGAACUGCAUUUGAAACUGUUAUUCUAGAGUAUGGGAGAGGCAGGUGGAAUUCUUGGUGUAGUGGUGAAAUCCGUAGAGAUCAAGAGGAAUACUCAUUGCGAAGGCGGCCUGCUGGAACAUAACUGACGCUGAUGCGCGAAAGCGUGGGGAGCAAACAGGAUUAGAUACCCCGGUAGUC
RNAcentral lists this ribosomal RNA (440 nucleotides) under uncultured bacterium. RNAcentral's name for it is "partial 16S ribosomal RNA". It matches the Rfam family "Bacterial small subunit ribosomal RNA", at positions 338 to 795 of the family's 1533-position model. The record is from RNAcentral.